AUGACAGUGGAGGUGCCUUCUGCCAAGCAUUGGCUGUUUACUCUGAAGGAAACACUCGAGCACGACAUGUUUGUAUUGCUAUCGGUCACUCUAUGGGCCAUCUGGUCGGCCAGGCGGAAGGUACUACACGAGGGGAUUUUUCAAAGCCCACAAUCCACUCAAGCAUUUAUACGCAGGUUCAUUGAUGAUCUACAUAUAGUACAAGGUCAGCAGAGAACACCAGCAGUUCGGGCAAAUGUAACCCCUAUCUCUACCCUACCAAGGGCCAAGGCACCACCACAGGGCUACGCCAAGAUCCAUGUUGAUGCCGCAGUUAGGCAUGAGCGAGGUGGAGCAGCGGCAGCGGUAUGCAGGGAUGACAGAGGAAAUUAUCUGGGAAGCUCGGCGUUGGUCGUUUUUGGUGUGUGCAACCCAACCACACUGGAAGCAAUGGCGUGCAGGGAGGCAUUUGCACUCGCAGAGGACCUGAACUUGAUGAACUGCGUGAUAUCAACCGACUGCAAGCAAAUGGUGACUGACAUCUCCAAAGGAACUUUGGGGGCGCAUGGGGCAAUUAUUAACGAGAUCAGGGCAAAAGCCACUUCUUUCAAUUCCGUUUUCAUAUUCGAGGGUCGUGCUGUUAAUUAUGAGGCACAUAGGUUAGCUCAUUUUUCUAUUUCUCAGGGUUUGGGCCGCCACGUCUGGUUUGGCACCCCCCAUGACCUUCGUUGUAUCCCACAUCAUGUGGAUUUUGGUGAUGAAUAA
This 744-nucleotide ribosomal RNA is filed under the name Triticum aestivum (bread wheat). RNAcentral describes it as "partial small subunit ribosomal RNA". Lineage: Eukaryota; Viridiplantae; Streptophyta; Magnoliopsida; Poales; Poaceae. The record is from RNAcentral.